Molecule: long non-coding RNA, 1739 nt
Organism: Rhincodon typus (whale shark)
Lineage: Eukaryota; Metazoa; Chordata; Chondrichthyes; Orectolobiformes; Rhincodontidae
Exons: 4
Source: RefSeq, a predicted model, not a curated record
UUGGAGAAAGCUUGCAAUAGUUGUCAGCAAGCCAUAGUCACAUCAGUGAGAUAGCCUUCGCUCAGGUUAUUCCAGCACUGUAAGUCCACAGCAGCCUCUGACACCAGUCCAGGGCCUGCUCAGGGCAAUCAGAAUCUGGAUCCUAUCCUCAUAAGGGUGAAGAGCUGAACAACAGACAGGACACCACUCACUUUGACAUUUUCUGCCUUCUUUUGGCUGUUUUCCUCAUGAAAUGGGAGAAAUGCAGGUUUACAGGAGACAAAAAUGGAUAGUACAGAUUGGUGUCCCAAGCAAAUGAGUAGGCAGCACGGAGGGCUUGCAGGGUUAAUGAUGUCAGGGGUUGGAGUGGGUGAGGGUGAGUUGGAAAAACGUUGCAGUAAUAGUGGGAGCAUGAGCCUUGAUAGGAGUUGGCAACAGUAGGAGAAAUAGAAUGAAUGUGAGUUAUCAGAAAGAAGAUGGAGUAGAAUGGACAAGGAAAAUUGGCCUUGUUUCUACAGUGGUUGACAUUCCUCCAGAUGGUUGAGACUGCUUUAACCCAGACUUCCACAGUCUGGUGCUGUAAUCCCAACUGCUGGCCCUGGGGGAGGUUACCCAUCUAGCAGGGCUCCAGGAUCCUGCUCACAAAUCGGGUCACUGAAUUUCCCCAGUCUGCUAUGUCCGGAGUAAAUGUCGGGAACUGUGGAGUGCAGCUCCAGACAGUGCUUGUCCAGGUGUGCAACAUGCUUUUAAAGAUGUUGUAAAGGAAGUUGCUGAAUUCUGAGAUAUCUAGUGAAUGGCAAAUGGUAAGAUGGGGUGGAAAUCAGUCAUGAAAGAGACCAUUGACACAGGGUGGGUAAUUAAUGAAGUGUGUGUGUUAACAUAAUGGGAGAGAACGCUCUACACUUGCAGUGAGAAACUCUUCCAAAAAAUGCAAUGCAACUCUGACUUCACAAAAAAAGAAGAUUCAGCUCAAAGUAUUAAAGCUUCGAACAGUUUGAGCUGUAGUACUUUUGUAGUGGGAAGUAAGGAGUUUUGUGGCUGUAUAACAUUCCAAUAUUUUCUUGUGUAUCACUGAAACCUUAGUUUACUUUCAUGUAUGUCAAUGUCCUGUACAAGUAGAAAUGGAACUUUAACAUUUUAUAUAGAGAUUUAAUUGAGUCCGAUUACAUUGUAGAUUUUACAAUAUAUCAAAUUCCAAUUAUUCUUGCUGCAAGAAUUUAGCUGCUUCAAGUACUCUGCACAAUAAUAAUUAUAACAGAUGUCUUUCUGAAGUGUCACCCUCACUUGUCCUCCAUUUGACAGCUUUCAUCUGCACAACUUUUCAUUCUGGAGUCACACAGCCUGGUAUUACAAUGGGGUCACACUAGGAAAUGGUUGUGAAAUGCUGAUCUGUGUUACAAAUAAUACGCUAUAUAAUUGACUGCUGUUUAAAUUACAGAACUAGAACUUUGGAAAUUCAUCGUAGAACAUGAGUGGAAGAGAAUUUAUGAAUGUGAAGGACGUGAGCUCAUUGCUGAAUUAAAGGCGCCGAAUACCUUCAAGAAGUAGAAGCUGCCUGCCUAGUGCCAAUGGCAAGCAUGAUGAAACCUGCUGCUGCUUUGUCAAAUAGAGCAGACUGCUCCUCACUGGGUCAGCUCUGUUAAUGUGGAGGAAAGUGACUACUCAGGUCACAUCAAGGUAUAGCAGUCAACAUGGCCCAAGUCUUUCCAUGAAAUAUCAGUUCUUGGAGGAUAAAAAUAAACUUUCAGCUGUGUGCACAA